RNAcentral lists this small RNA (1974 nucleotides) under Malus domestica (apple). RNAcentral describes it as "sRNA MD16G0197300". The record is from RNAcentral. Lineage: Eukaryota; Viridiplantae; Streptophyta; Magnoliopsida; Rosales; Rosaceae.
UCCGUCUCGCUCACGCUCAGAGCCGAGUGCUCCUCCUGCUUUUUUUUCACACAGCACAAGCUCACAAUCUCCCCUCUGCUCACCCAGACGACGUCGUUUGCUUCGGUUUCCUUCGAAGAACAACUUGGAGUUGAGAGUGCUUUGUAGCAUUAAGGAGGAGGAAGGCGUCAGAGAAACCAAGAGGGUCAAUGGGCUACCGGUGGAUAAGGUCCAACGGGCGGGUUCGGGUUCUGGGUCCGAUUCUGAUGGGGAAUUGAGUCAGGAAAGCGGUUCUGGGGAAGUGGGUUUUGAUUGGGAUUGGCCGCCGUGGAAUAACGUACCUCAGAGGUACAAGCUCAUUGGGUCUGGGGAAGUGGGUUUUGAUUGGAAUUGGAGAAGGCAUUUCCCCAUCCGCCGCAACAGACCUUAUUGCCAGGCGUGACAAUACCUUUGGAAGAGCGUUGCUGUAGCAUUUGUCUUUCGUGGUCUGGAUUUAUUUAUUUAUUUAUAUUAAAAAAUGAAAAGGGGAAAGUCGAAUCUGAGAUUCUGAAUACAACAUGAGGAUGUUUUAAUUUUUGGUGUCAUUCUAAAUAAGAUUUAGUUUUCUUAUGUCUAUAUUUGUUGUGCACUCCGCGUUCAUUGGUACCCAUUUCUAGCAUUGGACUUCUUGCAGGUUUCUUCUAGCUCCUCCCCUUAUCCAAAAUCUGGGCUGGGAAUCUGUAUUUUACAUAUUUUCCUCUUUGGGGAUUGCGUGGAACGAAAACAAGAUUCUGUUUCCUUUUUUGGAUUUUCUGCCAAGUACCACCCUUCCAUCAUGAUUAAAUAUAAAAGAACUUACUUGGCCAAUUCAUCGUAUCUGGGUUUUCAGUUUCUCGAAGGACAAACCUCAUGGGUUGGUGAAUCAAUUCCACUGAAUCAUAUCUGCAAGUGGAUUUCUGGUGGUAUAUAGCAUUCCUAGUUUGGUGACUUCUUGUAGUUGCUUAGAAGCUCGAUCGUCGUCAUGGCAAGGUUGUUCGGUGUAUGGGGAAGGCGUGGGUUUGUGAGAUGGGUGCCUCCUUUUCCAGAUCGACCACAGGACAGGUCAUCGCCCAGAUCGAGGAAGUGGCAACCCUAAAAGGUCAGCUUGCGGCCCAACAAGUAGCACAGGAGGCCGAAGCAGCAGCUUGGGAAGCCCGGGAAGCCGAGAUUAUAGUCCAGUUUUCAACCCAGGAUGAGAAGAUUGGUAUGAUCUUACUGGCCUUACAGAUGUCCGGCCUCCAAAUCCUGAUGCUAGCACUUGAUCUUGCUCUACCUUCGACCUCCCAACCACUUCGCCUAGUCGAUACCCAGUAGCCUGAUGCAUCAAGCCUAGAAGACUACUUGUUGUAGUUUUUUCCUUUAUAUUGUAUGUAUAUUUUCAUAUAUUUUAUAAUUAAAUAUUUUUUCUUGGUACCAAUCUUCUUAAUGAAGAUUAGAGCAAUCAAAUGGAGCUUCAUAGGAUAAGUGUGUGAGGAUUAUACAAAAGUCAAGUGGUGCAAACCUUGCUGUGGAUAUAAGGAGUCUUGGGUGCACUGUCUUGGACAUUGCUACGACAAAAACCACCUUGGAGCCAGUAUAAAGGGGGUUUAUGCUGGGUUUUAGUACAAUUUUUAAGGGAUGUAUGAUCUGGUGAGGUUUCUCAAGGCCAUACAGAAGGCAGGACUCUAUGCUCACCUUCACAUUGGCCCUUAUGCUUGUGCUGAGUGGAACUUUGGGUUGAAGGAGUCAGCGAUGGAAUUUUGGAUGCCGAAGAGAAGAAGCCUUAUUAUUUCUUCUUUCUUUUUGAGUGAGCAUCUCUUUCUUUUCUUCUAAUUUUGCUUCUUUCUUUUUGUUGUCGAAUGUUUCAAAAUUUCAACUCACAUGUUCGUGUUCAUUGUUGAGAAGUGUAUUUUGUUAUUAGUAGGCCAUUAUUCUGUCUUUUCAGUAAUUGUUUCUUUAUUUUUUUUUUCGUAUUAGUUUUCGCAAAACCUAAUCGUC